ACAAACUGAAAAUUAUUACCUCGUAUAACUGUGGAAAUAUGGUCCACAAGUCUCUACCAGAUGGCCGUAAACCAUCUGACUACGGGGGAAGUGCACCUAGGG
RNAcentral lists this non-coding RNA (102 nucleotides) under Halothermothrix orenii. Its description in RNAcentral is "Guanine sequence". It matches the Rfam family "Purine riboswitch aptamer". Rfam says of the family: Riboswitches are metabolite binding domains within certain messenger RNAs that serve as precision sensors for their corresponding targets. Allosteric rearrangement of mRNA structure is mediated by ligand binding, and this results in modulation of gene expression. Lineage: Bacteria; Bacillati; Bacillota; Clostridia; Halanaerobiales; Halothermotrichaceae. RNAcentral also lists the same sequence under 1 other name. The record is from RNAcentral.